Molecule: ribosomal RNA, 253 nt
Filed under: uncultured bacterium
Lineage: Bacteria
Description: partial 16S ribosomal RNA
Rfam family: Bacterial small subunit ribosomal RNA
Source: RNAcentral
UACGUAGGAGGCAAGCGUUGUCCGGAAUUACUGGGCGUAAAGCGCACGUAGGCGGCUUUUUAAGUCAGGGGUGAAAUCCUGGAGCUCAACUCCAGAACUGCCUUUGAUACUGAAGAUCUUGAGUCCGGGAGAGGUGAGUGGAACUGCGAGUGUAGAGGUGAAAUUCGUAGAUAUUCGCAAGAACACCAGUGGCGAAGGCGGCUCACUGGCCCGGUACUGACGCUGAGGUGCGAAAGCGUGGGGAGCAAACAGG